This 434-nucleotide ribosomal RNA is filed under the name uncultured Enterobacteriaceae bacterium. RNAcentral's name for it is "bacterial SSU rRNA". It matches the Rfam family "Bacterial small subunit ribosomal RNA", at positions 355 to 774 of the family's 1533-position model. Lineage: Bacteria; Pseudomonadati; Pseudomonadota; Gammaproteobacteria; Enterobacterales; Enterobacteriaceae. The record is from RNAcentral.
UGGGGAAUAUUGCACAAUGGGCGCAAGCCUGAUGCAGCCAUGCCGCCGCUGUAGUGAAUGAAGGCAGCUUCGGGUUGUAAAGUACUUUCAGCGGGGAGGAAGGCGAUAAGGUUAAUAACCUUGUCGAUUGACGUUACCCGCAGAAGAAGCACCGACUAACUCCGUGCCAGCAGCCGCGGUAAUACGGAGGGUGCAAGCGUUAAUCGGAAUUACUGGGCGUAAAGCGCACGCAGGCGGUCUGUCAAGUCGGAUGUGAAAUCCCCGGGCUCAACCUGGGAACUGCAUUCGAAACUGGCAGGCUGGAGUCUUGUAGAGGGGGGUAGAAUUCCAGGUGUAGCGGUGAAAUGCAGUAGAGAUCUGGAGGAAUACCGGUGGCGAAGGCGGCCCCCUGGACAAAGACUGACGCUCAGGUGCGAAAGCGUGGGGAGCAAACA